UGGUGGAGUGAUUUGUCUGGUUAAUUCCGUUAACGAACGAGACCUUGACCUACUAAAUAGUUACGCGAGAUUUUUUUCUCGCGGUCAACUUCUUAGAGGGACUAUUCGUGCCUAGCGAGUGGAAGUUUGAGGCAAUAACA
This 140-nucleotide ribosomal RNA is filed under the name uncultured eukaryote. Its description in RNAcentral is "partial 18S ribosomal RNA". It matches the Rfam family "Eukaryotic small subunit ribosomal RNA", at positions 1299 to 1458 of the family's 1831-position model. The record is from RNAcentral.